Molecule: long non-coding RNA, 1062 nt
Filed under: Gallus gallus (chicken)
Lineage: Eukaryota; Metazoa; Chordata; Aves; Galliformes; Phasianidae
Description: lncRNA (ENSGALG00010029796.1)
Source: RNAcentral
AUUUGUCCCAACCACUAACUCUUCCUGCUCAUAUUGCUUGCAGGGCUUCAUACACAAUUACUUUGGGCUUAUGCCUGAGGAGAAGCUUCCAGUCCUAAUUAGAGAAUGUGCAUACCCAAGCCUCCUAGAUGGAGACUUCCUUGGAAAUGUGGCCUAAGUAAUGCUAUUUGUGCCUUGCAGGGUACGGAGGAGCGAUGAAAUGGGCUCCACGUGCUGAGGGAGCCAGCAGUGGGCAAGGAAAACUGCCUCGUGCUCAGUGGAUGUCAGCCAGAACCAACCCUGGGAAUCAGCUCCUUGCUCAGUGCCCUCUGCCAUGGAGGCAGCAAAGCAGAGGGCCGCCUCACUGCAGUCCUCUGUAGGCAAUUCUGCCAUAAGACAAAUAUCGAUUCGAAGCUAGAUUUGCAGCUCAGGCCUGGUGUCCGCUCUGCAUUUACUUCUAAAACUCUGGCCGUGAGAUGCAGUGGCACACGGAGUGGCUCUGGGUGGCCAGGAGGAGGAGAAGGGGAGGAGAGAACCCUCGUGCUCUGCCUUGCAAAUAUUUGAUUUUGAAUAUGCUCUCGUAGCUGUUAUUAUGUGCAAAGCAAACGUGUUUUCUCUUCGUGCCAAAUUUGUUUUAAUAACACAGUGUUACUUCUGCAAAUGUCAGCUACAGCCUCUCUCCAUUCUGGUGGCACUCGGCCCGGGGCGAAGGCUGGGUGUUUUAUGCUCCCUCUCCAUCGCUUCCAUUAAUCUGUUUAACAUGCCGGAGGUGGCAGUGACAGCAAAGGCAAUGAAAUCCCUGCGUGGCAGUGCUGGUGCUGCCGUUCUGUAUGCAUGAGGAACCUGAGCUGCCCGAGGAGGGUGCUGGCUGUGCCCCAGAGCACAACACCCUGAAGAACCCCACAGCCCUGCCCGGCCUAAUUGGCCUGUUUGUUUGGCAAUAAGUGAUUCCUGCCUGUUGCGGGCUGGAUUGUUUUUCACACCAUUAAAUGAAGUUCUGCUGUAUUGAUCCCUGUUUUUCCAAUUUGAAGCCUGAAAAGUGAUGAAGACAUUUUCUUGUUUUCUCAUGUACUUUUCCCUCAG